CCAUCAGAUGUGCCCUGAUGGGAUUAGCUAGUAGGUGGGGUAAUGGCUCACCUAGGCGACGAUCCCUAGCUGGUCUGAGAGGAUGACCAGCCACACUGGAACUGAGACACGGUCCAGACUCCUACGGGAGGCAGCAGUGGGGAAUAUUGCACAAUGGGCGCAAGCCUGAUGCAGCCAUGCCGCGUGUGUGAAGAAGGCCUUCGGGUUGUAAAGCACUUUCAGCGAGGAGGAAGGUGGUGGGCUUAAUACGCUCAUCAAUUGACGUUACUCGCAGAAGAAGCACCGGCUAACUCCGUGCCAGCAGCCGCGGUAAUACGGAAGGUGCAAGCGUUAAUCGGAAUUACUGGGCGCAAAGCGCACGCAGGCGGUUUGUUAAGUCAGAUGUGAAAUCCCCGGGCUCAACCUGGGAACUGCAUUUGAAACUGGCAAGCUAGAGUCUCGUAGAGGGGGGUAGAAUUCCAGGUGUAGCGGUGAAAUGCGUAGAGAUCUGGAGGAAUACCGGUGGCGAAGGCGGCCCCCUGGACGAAGACUGACGCUCAGGUGCGAAAGCGUGGGGAGCAGACAGGAUUAGAUACCCUGGUAGUCCACGCUGUAAACGAUGUCGAUUUGGAGGUUGUGCCCUUGAGGCGUGGCUUCCGGAGCUAACGCGUUAGAUCGACCGCCUGGGGAGUACGGCCGCAAGGUUAAAACUCAAAUGAAUUGACGGGGGCCCGCACAAGCGGUGGAGCAUGUGGUUUAAUUCGAUGCAACGCGAAGAACCUUACCUACUCUUGACAUCCAGAGAACUUAGCAGAGAUGCU
RNAcentral lists this ribosomal RNA (800 nucleotides) under uncultured bacterium. RNAcentral's name for it is "bacterial SSU rRNA". It matches the Rfam family "Bacterial small subunit ribosomal RNA", at positions 218 to 1010 of the family's 1533-position model. The record is from RNAcentral.